UAUUGGACAAUGGGGGCAACCCUGAUCCAGCGACGCCGCGUGUGUGAAGAAGGCCUGCGGGUUGUAAAGCACUUUUAGUGGGGAUGAAAAGCACAUUGCUAAUACCAGUGUGUCUUGACCUAACCCAAAGAAAAAGCACCGGCUAACUCUGUGCCAGCAGCCGCGGUAAUACAGAGGGUGCGAGCGUUAAUCGGAAUUACUGGGCGUAAAGCGUGCGUAGACGGUUAUUUAAGUCGGGUGUGAAAGCCCCGGGCUCAACCUGGGAAUUGCAUUCGAGACUGAAUAGCUAGGGUACGGUAGAGGGAAGUGGAAUUUCCGGUGUAGCGGUGAAAUGCGUAGAUAUCGGAAGGAACAUCAGUGGCGAAGGCGGCUACCUGGCCCAAUACUGACACUCAGGUGCGACAGCGUGGGGAGCAAAC
RNAcentral lists this ribosomal RNA (419 nucleotides) under uncultured bacterium. RNAcentral's name for it is "bacterial SSU rRNA". It matches the Rfam family "Bacterial small subunit ribosomal RNA", at positions 362 to 773 of the family's 1533-position model. The record is from RNAcentral.